GAUGAACGCUGGCGGCGUGCCUAAUACAUGCAAGUCGAACGCUGAAGGAAGGCGCUUGCUCUUUCCGGGUGAGUUGCACACGGGUGAGUCACGCGUAGGUCCCCUGCCUGGUAGCGGGGGAUCACUAUUGGAAACGAUAGCUAAUACCGCAUAACAGUCGAUGUUGCAUGAUGUCUACUUAAAAGGCGCCAUUGCACCACUACCAGGUGGACCUUCGUUGUAUUAGUUAGUUGGUGCGGUACCGGCUCACCAAGGCGACGCUACAGAGCCGAAAUGACAGGGUGGGCGGCCAGACUGGGAGUGAGACACGGCCCAGACUCCUAGAGGAGGCAGCAGUAGGGAAACGGCGGGAAUGGGUGGAAGACUGACCGCGCAACGCCGCGUGAGGGAAGAAGGUUGUCGGAUCGGGAAGCACUGUUGUAAGAGAAGAAAGAGUGUGAGAGUGGAAAGUUGAGACUGUGACGGUAUCUGACCAGAAAGGGACGGCUAACUACGUG
RNAcentral lists this ribosomal RNA (497 nucleotides) under uncultured bacterium. RNAcentral describes it as "partial 16S ribosomal RNA". It matches the Rfam family "Bacterial small subunit ribosomal RNA", at positions 28 to 507 of the family's 1533-position model. The record is from RNAcentral.